This 425-nucleotide ribosomal RNA is filed under the name uncultured bacterium. RNAcentral's name for it is "bacterial SSU rRNA". It matches the Rfam family "Bacterial small subunit ribosomal RNA", at positions 917 to 1345 of the family's 1533-position model. The record is from RNAcentral.
GGGCCCGCACAAGCGGUGGAGCAUGUGGUUUAAUUCGAUGAUACGCGAGGAACCUUACCAGGGCUUAAAUGUAUUCUGACAGCUUUAGAGAUAGAGUUUUCUUCGGACAGAAUACAAGGUGCUGCAUGGUUGUCGUCAGCUCGUGCCGUGAGGUGUCAGGUUAAGUCCUAUAACGAGCGCAACCCCUAUCGUUAGUUGCCAGCGAGUAAUGUCGGGAACUCUAACGAAACUGCCAGUGCAAACUGUGAGGAAGGUGGGGAUGACGUCAAAUCAUCACGGCCCUUACGUCCUGGGCUACACACGUGCUACAAUGGCCGGUACAGAGAGCAGCCACUUCGCAAGAAGGAGCUAAUCUUUAAAACCGAUCUCAGUUCGGAUCGCAGUCUGCAACUCGACUGCGUGAAGCUGGAAUCGCUAGUAAUCGG